GAGGGUAUAGCUCAAUGGUAGAGUGCAUGCUUAGCAUGCACAGGGUCCUGGGUUCAAUCCCCAGAAUCUCCU
Molecule: transfer RNA, 72 nt
Filed under: Camelus bactrianus (Bactrian camel)
Lineage: Eukaryota; Metazoa; Chordata; Mammalia; Artiodactyla; Camelidae
Also listed under: 2 other names
Rfam family: tRNA
About the family: Transfer RNA (tRNA) molecules are approximately 80 nucleotides in length. Their secondary structure includes four short double-helical elements and three loops (D, anti-codon, and T loops).
Source: Rfam by way of RNAcentral